GAGUUUGAUCGUGGCUCAGAUUGAACGCUGGCGGCAGGCCUAACACAUGCAAGUCGAGCGGUAGAGAGAAGCUUGCUUCUCUUGAGAGCGGCGGACGGGUGAGUAAUGCCUAGGAAUCUGCCUGGUAGUGGGGGAUAACGCUCGGAAACGGACGCUAAUACCGCAUACGUCCUACGGGAGAAAGCAGGGGACCUUCGGGCCUUGCGCUAUCAGAUGAGCCUAGGUCGGAUUAGCUAGUUGGUGAGGUAAUGGCUCACCAAGGCGACGAUCCGUAACUGGUCUGAGAGGAUGAUCAGUCACACUGGAACUGAGACACGGUCCAGACUCCUACGGGAGGCAGCAGUGGGGAUAUUGGACAAUGGGCGCAAGCCUGAUCCAGCCAUGCCGCGUGGAUGAUGAAGGCCCUAGGGUUGUAAAGUCCUUUCGGCGGGAAGAUAAUGACGGUACCCGCAGAAGAAGCCCCGGCUAACUUCGUGCCAGCCGCCGCCGUAAC
RNAcentral lists this ribosomal RNA (493 nucleotides) under uncultured bacterium. RNAcentral's name for it is "bacterial SSU rRNA". It matches the Rfam family "Bacterial small subunit ribosomal RNA", at positions 9 to 524 of the family's 1533-position model. The record is from RNAcentral.